This 481-nucleotide ribosomal RNA is filed under the name uncultured bacterium. RNAcentral's name for it is "SSU rRNA". It matches the Rfam family "Bacterial small subunit ribosomal RNA", at positions 26 to 518 of the family's 1533-position model. The record is from RNAcentral.
AGGACGAACGCUGGCGGCGUGCUUAACACAUGCAAGUGGAGCGACGAACCAGGGCUUGCCCUGGGGCAGAGCCGCGAACGGGUGAGUAACACGUGGGUAACGUGCCCCGAUGACUGGGACAACCCGGGGAAACCCGGGCUAAUACCGGAUGUGCUCCCUCACUUCGGUGAGACGAGUAAAGGAAGCUUCGGCCUCCGCAUUGGGAUCGGCCCGCGGCCCAUUAGCUUGUUGGUGAGGUAACGGCUCACCAAGGCCGCGAUGGGUAGCUGGUCUGAGAGGACGAUCAGCCACACUGGGACUGAGACACGGCCCAGACUCCUACGGGAGGCAGCAGUGGGGGAAUAUUGGACAAUGGGCGCAAGCCUGAUCCAGCCAUGCCGCGUGGAUGAUGAAGGCCCUAGGGUUGUAAAGUCCUUUCGGCGGGGAAGAUAAUGACGGUACCCGCAGAAGAAGCCCCGGCUAACUUCGUGCCAGCAGCCGC